Molecule: ribosomal RNA, 506 nt
Filed under: uncultured bacterium
Lineage: Bacteria
Description: partial 16S ribosomal RNA
Rfam family: Bacterial small subunit ribosomal RNA
Source: RNAcentral
AUUGAACGCUGGCGGCAGGCUUAACACAUGCAAGUCGAGCGGUAACAGAGAGAAGCUUGCUUCUCUGCUGACGAGCGGCGGACGGGUGGGUAAUGCCUAGGAAUCUGCCUAGUAGUGGGGGAUAACUUGCCGAACGGUAAGCUAAUACCGCAUACGUCCUACGGGAGAAAGGAGGGGACCUUCGGGCCUUUCGCUGUUAGAUGAGCCUAGGUCGGAUUAGUUAGUUGGUGAGGUAAUGGCUCACCAAGACCGCGAUCCGUAACUGGUCUGAGAGGAUGAUCAGUCACACUGGAACUGAGACACGGUCCAGACUCCUACGGGAGGCAGCAGUGGGGAAUAUUGGACAAUGGGGGGAACCCUGAUCCAGCCAUGCCGCGUGUGUGAAGAAGGUCUUAGGAUUGUAAAGCACUUUAAGUUGGGAGGAAGAGCAGUUAACUAAUAUUUGACUGUUUUGACGUUACCGACAGAAUAAGCACCGGCUAACUUCGUGCCAGCCGCCGCGGUAA